Non-coding RNA from Triticum aestivum (bread wheat), 126 nucleotides. Lineage: Eukaryota; Viridiplantae; Streptophyta; Magnoliopsida; Poales; Poaceae. The record is from Rfam.
CAUAUACUCCCUCCGUUCGAAAAAACUUAUCCCAAUCUUGUCUCUUAAAUAGAUGUAUCUAGCACUAAUUUGACGUUAAAUACAUCCAUUUAAGGAACAAGCAUUUUCAGACGGAGGGAGUAUAUC